This 951-nucleotide long non-coding RNA is filed under the name Homo sapiens (human). RNAcentral's name for it is "non-protein coding lnc-C22orf46-2:1". Lineage: Eukaryota; Metazoa; Chordata; Mammalia; Primates; Hominidae. The record is from RNAcentral.
CCACUAAUAGUGCCUCUUCUCUGGGACUCAGUUUCCCCACCUGUUAAAAAGAAGAGGUUAAACCAUAACCAAGGGCACUUUCCAGGUUUAUUAGUGGAUUGAUGAUCAUGACUCAUGGAGAGGAGGGAGAUGAAUCAGAUGAGGGCCCGGCCUCAAAGAUCUCACAGUCUGGUCCCAUUAGCUCAAUCUUGUCAGGGUCCCUCCACGAGUGGCCUCCAACUCAUACAUGCUGUCCAGAGCCUGUCACCUCUCCUCCCAGGCUCAAGCAAUUCUCCUGCCUCAGCCUCCCGAGUAGCUGGGACUACAGGUGCGUGCCACCAUGCCCAGCUAAUUUUGUAUUUUUAGUAGAGAUGGGCGCCUGUAAUUCCAGCACUUUGGGAGGCCGAGGCAGGUGCAUCACCUGAGGUCAGGAGUUCAAGACCAGCCUGGCCAACAUGGCAAAACCCUGUCUCUACUAAAAAUACAAAAAAAAAAAAAAUUAGCUGGGCGUGGUGGCGAGUGCCUGUAAUUCCCGUCUUAAAUUUAAGACAUUAUUCAUUGACUUGCCAGUUAGAAAGAUCAAUAUUUAAUUAGCUCACAUUUUUUGUCUUCUCUACAUGUCCUUGGCAUUUUUGCUAUUUAAUAUUUUGUUUUUAACCUUUAAAUAAUGUACCUAAAACUGGUAUUUCUUGUUCCCUCAACUUGAAGCAGUGUCUCCUGAGUUCCUACGUGGUUAGCAGCACCCCAACUCUUCUUUUCCCCUCUCUUCCCUACUUCUACUUCUCAAGGCCAGUCAGCUAUACCUUUAAUUUUACAUUGUGAAAGUUGUUAAUAUUUAUAGUCUCUUCUGUAACUAUAUUUAAGUCUUUGUGAUUUGACUCUAGGUUGGUUCUAAAAAUUGAAACAAAAAAUAGCAUUUACGUGACAGUGACUUCAGUCUGUCUUCUUUCCUCCUUUGUCCUUCCCUGAAUU